This 253-nucleotide ribosomal RNA is filed under the name uncultured bacterium. Its description in RNAcentral is "partial 16S ribosomal RNA". It matches the Rfam family "Bacterial small subunit ribosomal RNA", at positions 524 to 776 of the family's 1533-position model. The record is from RNAcentral.
UACGUAGGGUGCAAGCGUUGUCCGGAAUUAUUGGGCGUAAAGAGCUCGUAGGCGGUUUGUCGCGUCUGCUGUGAAAACUCGGGGCUUAACUCCGGGCCUGCAGUGGGUACGGGCAGACUAGAGUGCGGUAGGGGAGACUGGAAUUCCUGGUGUAGCGGUGAAAUGCGCAGAUAUCAGGAGGAACACCGGUGGCGAAGGCGGCUUGCUGGGCCAGUUCUGACGCUGAGGAGCGAAAGCGUGGGGAGCGAACAGG